AUUGAACGCUGGCGGCAGGCCUAACACAUGCAAGUCGAGCGAGCGGCGGACGGGUGAGUAAUGUCCGGGAAACUGCCUGCUGGAGGGGGAUAACUACUGGAAACGGUAGCUAAUACCGCAUACCAUCAGAUGUGCCCAGAUGGGAUUAGCUAGUAGGUGGGGUAACGGCUCACCUAGGCAACGAUCCCUAGCUGGUCUGAGAGGAUGACCAGCGACCUGGGAACUGAAACACGGGCCAGACUCCUACGGAGGGCAGCAGUGGGGAAUAUUGCACAAUGGGGGCAAGCCUGAUGCAGCCAUGCCGCGUGUAUGAAGAAGGCCUUCGGGUUGUAAAGGACUUUCAGCAGGGAGGCGUUACCCGAAGAAGAAGCACCGGCGAACUCCGUGCCAGCAGCCGCGGUAAUAC
This 406-nucleotide ribosomal RNA is filed under the name uncultured bacterium. RNAcentral describes it as "partial 16S ribosomal RNA". It matches the Rfam family "Bacterial small subunit ribosomal RNA", at positions 29 to 526 of the family's 1533-position model. The record is from RNAcentral.